GCGAUGGUAGCUCAGGGGAUAGAGCAACUGCCUUCUAAGCAGUGGGUCGAAGGUUCGAUUCCUUCUCGUCGCA
This 73-nucleotide transfer RNA is filed under the name Spirochaetales bacterium. RNAcentral describes it as "tRNA-Arg". It matches the Rfam family "tRNA". From Rfam's summary of the family: Transfer RNA (tRNA) molecules are approximately 80 nucleotides in length. Their secondary structure includes four short double-helical elements and three loops (D, anti-codon, and T loops). The record is from RNAcentral. Lineage: Bacteria; Pseudomonadati; Spirochaetota; Spirochaetia; Spirochaetales.